GCGCCUGUAGCUCAGGGGAUAGAGCAGCGGUUUCCUAAACCGCGAGUCGGAGGUUCGAAUCCUUCCAGGCGCA
RNAcentral lists this transfer RNA (73 nucleotides) under Rubrobacter sp. RNAcentral's name for it is "tRNA-Arg". It matches the Rfam family "tRNA". Rfam says of the family: Transfer RNA (tRNA) molecules are approximately 80 nucleotides in length. Their secondary structure includes four short double-helical elements and three loops (D, anti-codon, and T loops). Further hydrogen bonds mediate the characteristic L-shaped molecular structure. tRNAs have two regions of fundamental functional importance: the anti-codon, which is responsible for specific mRNA codon recognition, and the 3' end, to which the tRNAs corresponding amino acid is attached (by aminoacyl-tRNA synthetases). tRNAs cope with the degeneracy of the genetic code in two manners: having more than one tRNA (with a specific anti-codon) for a particular amino acid; and 'wobble' base-pairing, i.e. permitting non-standard base-pairing at the 3rd anti-codon position. RNAcentral also lists the same sequence under 4 other names. The record is from RNAcentral. Lineage: Bacteria; Bacillati; Actinomycetota; Rubrobacteria; Rubrobacterales; Rubrobacteraceae.